RNAcentral lists this non-coding RNA (26 nucleotides) under Mus musculus (house mouse). The record is from RNAcentral. Lineage: Eukaryota; Metazoa; Chordata; Mammalia; Rodentia; Muridae.
UGUAUGUGUUUGGGCCAUGAUACCUG